Molecule: ribosomal RNA, 460 nt
Filed under: uncultured bacterium
Lineage: Bacteria
Description: partial 16S ribosomal RNA
Rfam family: Bacterial small subunit ribosomal RNA
Source: RNAcentral
CCUACGUGCGGCAGCAGUGAGGACUAUUUGUCAAUGGGCGCGAGCCUGAACCAGCCAAGUAGCGUGAAGGAUGACUGCCCUACGGGUUGUAAACUUCUUUUAUAAAGGAAUAAAGUGAGGCCCGUGUGCCUUUUUGUAUGUACUUUAUGAAUAAGGAUCGGCUAACUCCGUGCCAGCAGCCGCGGUAAUACGGAGGAUCCGAGCGUUAUCCGGAUUUAUUGGGUUUAAAGGGAGCGUAGAUGGGUUGUUAAGUCAGUUGUGAAAGUUUGCGGCUCAACCGUAAAAUUGCAAUUGAUACUGGCAGUCUUGAGUACAGUUGAGGUAGGCGGAAUUCGUGGUGUAGCGGUGAAAUGCUUAGAUAUCACGAAGAUCUCCGAUUGCGAAGGCAGCUUACUAAACUGCCACUGACAUUGAUGCUCGAAAGUGUGGGUAUCAAACAGGAUUAGAUACCCUAGUAGUC